Molecule: long non-coding RNA, 396 nt
Filed under: Prunus persica (peach)
Lineage: Eukaryota; Viridiplantae; Streptophyta; Magnoliopsida; Rosales; Rosaceae
Description: long non-coding RNA (PPER_LNC001179)
Source: RNAcentral
CUAGUGGCGUGAGACUUGUAAUUGAGGACUAUCCAUAUGCUGCGGACGGCCUCCUCAUAUGGUCUGCCAUAAAAGAAUGGGUAGAAUCCUAUGUGGAACACUACUACUCCGAGCCAAAUUCUGUCACAUCCGAUGUUGAGCUCCAAGACUGGUGGAGUGAGAUCAAGAAUAAGGGUCACUACGACAAGCGGAACGAGCCAUGGUGGCCUAAACUUAAAACCAAAGAGGACUUAUCCGGUAUACUUACAACAAUGAUUUGGGUCGCUUCAGGUCAACAUGCAGCCAUCAACUUUGGCCAGUACCCGUUUGGUGGUUAUGUGCCAAACCGUCCUACCCUUAUGAGAAAACUCAUUCCACAAGAAGACGACCCUGAUUAUGAGAAAUUUAUUUCUAACC